RNAcentral lists this ribosomal RNA (632 nucleotides) under uncultured Omnitrophica bacterium. RNAcentral describes it as "bacterial SSU rRNA". It matches the Rfam family "Bacterial small subunit ribosomal RNA", at positions 207 to 827 of the family's 1533-position model. Lineage: Bacteria; Pseudomonadati; Candidatus Omnitrophota. The record is from RNAcentral.
UUCGGACCUGUUGUUUGAAGAGGAGUCCGCGUCCUAUCAGCUAGUUGGUGAGGUAACGGCUUACCAAGGCAUUUGACGGGUAGCUGGUCUGAGAGGAUGGUCAGCCACACUGGGACUGAGACACUGCCCAGACUCCUACGGGAGGCUGCAGUCGAGAAUCUUUUGCAAUGGGCGAAAGCCUGACAAUGCGACGCCGCGUGAGCGAUGAAGGUCUUCGGAUUGUAAAGCUCUGUUGUAGGGGAUGAAAGUAUUUGAUGUAAAUAGCAUUAAGUAUUGACAGUACCCUAAGAGGAAGCCACGGCUAACUCCGUGCCAGCAGCCGCGGUAAUACGGAGGUGGCAAGCGUUGUUCGGAUUGAUUGGGUGUAAAGGGCAUGUAGGCGUCCUGGUAAGUCGAACGUGAAAUCCCGCAGCUCAACUGCGGAACUGCAUUCGAAACUGCCGGGAUUGAGUACGGAAGGGGAGAAUGGAAUUCCCGGUGUAAGGGAGAAAUCUGUAGAUAUCGGGAGGAACACCAGUGGCGAAGGCGAUUCUCUGGGCCGAUACUGACGCUGAAAUGCGAAAGCUAGGGGAGCAAACAGGAUUAGAUACCCUGGUAGUCCUAGCCGUAAACGAUGGGCACUAGGUGUCGGC